AGAGUUUGAUCCUGGCUCAGAACGAACGCUGGCGGCAGGCCUCAUACAUGCAAGUCGCGCGAUUAAAGCCCCUUCGGGGGUGUAUAAAGCGGCGAACGGGUGAGUAACAGGUGGACAACCUACCUUUUGGCGGGGGAUAACCACGCGAAAGCGUGGCUAAUACCGCGUAUGGUUGCUUGUCAUAGGAUGAGUAAAGAAAGGCGCUGCAAGGCGCCGCCAAAAGAUGGGUCCGCCUCCCAUUAGCUAGUUGGUGAGAUAACAGCUCACCAAGGCAACGAUGGGUAGCCGAGCUGAGAGGUUGAUCGGCCACACUGGAACUGAGACACGGUCCAGACACCUACGGGUGGCAGCAGUAGGGAAUAUUGGUCAAUGGGCGAAAGCCUGAACCAGCCAUGCCGCGUGGAGGAUGAAGGCCUUCGGGUCGUAAACUCCUUUUCUGUAAGAAGAAAGGCUUAGGGAGGAAAUGCCCUGGGUUUGACGGUAUUACAGGAAUAAGCAACGGCUAACUCCGUGCCAGCAGCCGCGGUAAUACGGAGGUUGCAAGCGUUGUUCGGAAUUACUGGGCGUAAAGGGAGUGCAGGCGGCCAUGUCAGUCUGAAGUGAAAGCCCGGGGCUUAACCUCGGAAGCGCUUUGGAUACUGCAUGGCUUGAGUACGCGAGAGGAAAGCGGAAUUCCAGGUGUAGCGGUGAAAUGCGUAGAUAUCUGGAGGAACACCGGUGGCGAAAGCGGCUUUCUGGCGCGUUACUGACGCUGAGGCUCGAAAGCGUGGGGAGCAAACGGGAUUAGAUACCCCGGUAGUCCACGCCGUAAACGUUGUGCACUAGGUGUAGGAGGUAUCGACCCCUUCUGUGCCGCAGCUAACGCAUUAAGUGCACCGCCUGGGGAGUACGGUCGCAAGACUGAAACUCAAAGGAAUUGACGGGGGCCCGCACAAGCGGUGGAGCAUGUGGUUUAAUUCGAGGCAACGCGAAGAACC
RNAcentral lists this ribosomal RNA (977 nucleotides) under Candidatus Hydrogenedentota bacterium. RNAcentral describes it as "bacterial SSU rRNA". It matches the Rfam family "Bacterial small subunit ribosomal RNA", at positions 8 to 970 of the family's 1533-position model. The record is from RNAcentral. Lineage: Bacteria; Pseudomonadati; Candidatus Hydrogenedentota.